CAAUUUUGCACAUGUAAGUUUAUUUGAAAUGAAUCACAUUAACUAUGUAAUUGUUUCCAGAUUCUGAAUGAAAUAGAACAGAUGAAAAGAGACAUAAGACUCCUAUGCAAAGCGGUAUCACCUGACACAAUGAUCGAGGAAGAGGUUAAAAAUCCGCCAACAGAAAUACGGGAUGCAGAUAAAGAUCAGAUACCACAACCCUCCAUGGUGUCGGAUGAUAUGAAGGUUAUUUAUGUAUAAGAUUUCGAUGACAACGAUUCGGAUUCAACCGUCCUUGGAUUCAUCUACUUAUUUUCAAAACCUGCUUUGGAUAAAUGAUUGGUUUAGAAACUGAAAUUGGAAUGAAGGGUGACUAAAAUGCAACAUGGAAGCAGAGAAUUGUAUUUAUUGCAAAAGAGUGUGUUUUCAUGUAUACUCUUUAAUGUAGAUGUGCUUUAUCUUCAUCUGUGUCUUUAAUUACAUUAUCAUCGAUGGGAUUACGUGGCGUCGGUGGCCGAGUGGUUAGGCCGUCAGACUCUCGACCGAAAGGUCGUGGGUUCGAGUCCUGGCCGCGGCAGGGCUGACAUUGUGUCCUUGGGAAAGGCACUUUACAUGAAUUUCCUCACUCCACCCAAGUGUAAAAAGGGUACCUGGCUAUAGACAGUGAAAGAUAUUGUUAGAAUGUUAGUGCUCUAGCGCUUGUAAUGGCAGCUUGCACUGUAUGCUUCCUAGGAAGCUGAGAAAGUUCUAGAUUUAUAUAAGGUCUGCCGGGGUAAUAAUGUACAUUGAUAAUUGUAAAGCGCUCUGAGCAGCAUACGCUGGAUAAGGCGCUAUAUAAAACCAAUUAUUAUUAUUAUUAUUAUUAGAACAUUCUGCAAAAAAAAAAAGAAGAAAAUUAUUUAAAAAACUAGCAAGGUCGAACAGAGUCUAGAUGAUAGAAAUACUUGAUGUUUCAAAGUACACUUUAUGGAUGAUGUUCAAAUAUAUUUACUGAAUAUUUAGGUAAUUCAUUAUGAAUUCUUUGAUUUUGAUUGGAGGAUUAAAUCUAUAAAUAAAAAUGACAUUGAUGACAUGUUAUGUAAAUCAUUUUCUUUUUUUCAAAUUGUCACUUUCUUUUUCUUUAAAUAGAAUUACAAGUUUUAGAUGUAACUUGACUUAUCGUGUGUCUUACAUUACACAGUAACUAAACUGCCAACUGAUGUGAAAUGAACUGUCGUUCUACUGUUAUAAUUAAUGUUGUAUUAUUAUUCUUUAAAUAGAAUUACAAGUUUUAGAUGUAACUUGACUUAUCGUGUGUCUUACAUUACACAGUAACUAAACUACCAACUGAUGUGAAAUGAACUGUCGUUCUACUGUUAUAAUUAAUGUUGUAUUAUUAUUCUUUAAAUAGAAUUACAAGUUUUAGAUGUAACUUGACUUAUCGUGUGUCUUACAUUACACAGUAACUAAACUACCAACUGAUGUGAAAUGAACUGUCGUUCUACUGUUAUAAUUAAUGUUGUAUUAUUAUUCUUUAAAUAGAAUUACAAGUUUUAGAUGUAACUUGACUUAUCGUGUGUCUUACAUUACACAGUAACUAAACUGCCAACUGAUGUGAAAUGAACUGUCGUUCUACUGUUAUAAUUAAUGUUGUAUUAUUAUUCUUUAAAUAGAAUUACAAGUUUUAGAUGUAACUUGACUUAUCGUAUGUCUUACAUUACACAGUAACUAAACUACCAACUGAUGUGAAAUGAACUGUCGUUCUACUGUUAUAAUUAAUGUUGUAUUAUUAUUCUUUAUAUUUGAAUCAUUAUUUUUCCAUUACCAUGGACGUGAACAUGGUAACUAAGAGUAGGGAAGACGAUAAAAGGUUAUCUAAAACAUUGGCGCUAAUGAAAUGUUUUGUACUGUUACAAUCGAUGUUUUAUUAUUAUUAUUAUUAUUAUUAUUAUUAUUAUCAUCAUCAUUAAUAUUUUAUUUUUCAUUCUGACUGUUGUUAUUAUCAUCAUUAUAAAAGGAAACGACACGGAUUAACAUUGUUAACAUUCAUUCUUGUCUUGUCAUAUCCUAUGAACAUUUCUUUUUCAUUGCAACCUUGAACCUUGAUAAGAUGAUCACGAAAUGUGUACGCUUGCUUCUUUGUGUUGUCUAAUGGCAGAAAUGUCACAGAGUGUAUUUCAUUUGAAAGACACAGAAAGCUGUCGUCAUUUCAUUGCCCAUGUGAAAUUCUGAUCUGGCGUCAAUCACGAAUGCAAUACCGGCUUUCUAAUCUGCUAAACAACAACGCUGCCUAUAGGAUGCAUGAUUUAGGGAUGUUGAUUGAUCUAACAUUUUGUUGUCUCUGGCUAUUUAAAUCACAUGUAUCUUAUCAAGUUAUGGGGUUCAGGACGGGUGUGAGCGGUGAACAGGGGAUACUUACUCCUUCUAAACACCUGACCCCCUCUGGUACAUGUGUGUCCAGGGGUUCGUGUUUGUCCUAUUCUUGAUUCUGCAUUCCUUAUAGGAAGUAUGAGAUUGAACACUGCACGUUGCCUUUACUUUUUUUUAUCAUUAAGGAAAUGCCCCUAUUUAAUCAGUUCAACUUUCAAACCAAAUCAAAAGCGCCACGAUAUUCAUAUCCAUAUGAAUAAUACGUUUGCUUAAUGACAUCGCACCCAAAAACACUAAAGCGCUAGGACUUCAAAUACUUCUUUGCGAAAUAAAAGCCAAAUAUUAACGAUGCAACCAUUACCCGAGAUACGAUAUAUGCUGUGUAACAUAUGUACGUCGAUCAUGUGACCAGCAUAUCACGUGGGCGUGACUGUCAUAACCUAGAUACUGAGUGAAUCAACAACAUACUAUGUAAAAAACAAGUAUGACAACAAGUUAUGAUAUAAAAUGAUUGAUAUUGUUCAUGACGUCACGAAUACUCGUACGUUCCAAUUACGAUGAACUUACUGGCGAUGGUCACUGCGUUCCGUGUUGACUUCACUAUGAAUUUCUUUCCAAUUAACCACUAAAAGUUGGCCACUACUAUGAUGAAAAAGUGAAGAUAACGAACAGUGAUCCACCUCGAUGCUACACAGAAUGCAGUAAGACAAACACGAUAGUGAAAUAACGUUUUAUGUCAUAUAUUUGCUGUUUAUCAAUAAAUAAUCU
This is a long non-coding RNA of Ostrea edulis (European flat oyster), 3096 nucleotides long. RefSeq lists it as uncharacterized. NCBI's taxonomy places the organism in Eukaryota, Metazoa, Mollusca, Bivalvia, Ostreida, Ostreidae. The record is from RefSeq and is a predicted model, not a curated record. The transcript has 4 exons.